This 253-nucleotide ribosomal RNA is filed under the name uncultured bacterium. RNAcentral's name for it is "partial 16S ribosomal RNA". It matches the Rfam family "Bacterial small subunit ribosomal RNA", at positions 524 to 776 of the family's 1533-position model. The record is from RNAcentral.
UACGUAGGGGGCAAGCGUUGUCCGGAAUCAUUGGGCGUAAAGCGCGUGUAGGCGGUCCGAUAAGUCGGUUGUGAAAGUCCAGGGCUCAACCCUGGGAUGCCGACCGAUACUGUCGGACUAGAGUUCGGAAGAGGCGAGUGGAAUUCCCGGUGUAGCGGUGAAAUGCGCAGAUAUCGGGAGGAACACCAAUGGCGAAGGCAGCUCGCUGGGACGUUACUGACGCUGAGACGCGAAAGCGUGGGGAUCAAACAGG